GAUGAACGCUGGCGGCGUGCCUUAGGCAUGCAAGUAGAACGAGAACGAGUAGCAAUACUAGUUAGAGUUGCGAACGGCUGAGUAACACGUAAGAACCUACCUCUUGGAGGGGAAUACCUCGUCGAAAGACGGGUUAAUACCGCAUAAGAUCGUAAGAUGAAAGCUUUUGUAGUAAUACAACGGCGCCGAGAGAGGGGCUUGCGGCCCAUCAGCUAGUUGGUAGGGUAAAAGCCUACCAAGGCUACGACGGGUAGGGGGCGUGAGAGCGCGUUCCCCCAGAAUGGCACUGAGAUACGGGCCAUACACCUACGGGUGGCAGCAACCGGGAAUUGUACGCAAUGGACGAAAGUCUGACGUCGCGACGCCGCGUGAGGGAUGAAGGCCUUAGGGUUGUAAACCUCUUUUGCCGAGUGGGAGACCACUCGGAGAAUAAGUACUUGCUAACUCUGUGCCAGCAGCAGCGGUAAUACAGAGAGUACAAGCGUUAUCCGGAUUUACUGGGCGUAAAGCGUUUCGUAGGCGCUUCACUAAGUUAUGUUUCAAAGACCGGGGCUCAACCCCGGGAAGGGAUGUAAUACUGGUGGAGUCAGAAUUAUGUCGGGGCUAUUGGAACUGUCGGUGUAGGGGUGAAAUCCGUUGAUAUCGACAGGAACUCCGAGGGCGUAGGCAGAUAGCUAGGCAUAUAUUGACGCUGAGGAACGACAGCUAGGGGAGCGAAAGGGAUUAGAGACCCCUGUAGUCCUAGCCGUAAACGUUGCUCGCUAGCUUUCUCUAUGUAAUGUAGAGGGGGCGUAAGCUAACGCGUGAAGCGAGCCGCCUGGGGAGUACGAUCGCAAGAUUAAAACUCAAAGGAAUUGACGGGGACCUGCACAACCAGCGGAGCAUGUGGUUUAAUUCGAGACGAACCGAAGAACCUUACCCAGAUUUGACAUGUAAGGCAUUUAGGCAACCAGAGAUGGAUGCUGAUUUUUAUAAAUAUAAAAAACUUUACACAGGUGUUGCAUGGCUGUCGUCAGCUCGUGCCGUAGGGUGUUCCCUUAAGUGGGGUAACGAGCGCAACCCCUUUCGUAUGUUGAAUUGUUCAUACGAUACUGUCGGCCUUUGGCCGGAGGAAGCGGGGACGACGUCAAGUCAGCAUGGCCCUUAUAUCUGGGGCUACACACAUACUACAAUGGAGCCGACAAUGGGUCGCCAAGCCGUAAGGCGGAGCUAAUCCCAUCAAACGGCUUCUCAGUGGGGAUUGUGGGCUGCAACUCGCCCACAUGAGCGUGGAGUUGGUAGUAAUCGCGGGUCAGCUAAACCGCGGUGAAUACGUUCUCAGGUCUUGUACACACCGCCCGUCAAGUCAGCAAAGUUGGGGGCAGCCGAA
This 1369-nucleotide ribosomal RNA is filed under the name uncultured bacterium. RNAcentral describes it as "16S ribosomal RNA". It matches the Rfam family "Bacterial small subunit ribosomal RNA". The record is from RNAcentral.